CCAUCAGCUAGCGCCAGCAUGAUCCCACACAGACCCUUCAUGGCUUUCCUAUUUACUACACAUUGUCAGGCUCCUGGAGCAAAGUACCACGAACUGGGUGAAUUGAAACAACAGGAAUCGAUCAUCUCAUAGUUCUGGAGGCUACAUGCUUACAGUCAAGAUUUCUAUCAUGGAAAGCAGUGAAUUCCCCCAGAAUUAGGCCACAAUUCAUGGUCUGAAUUAUAAGAGCUGCUUGGGUCUGUCCAAGUCCAAUGUAUGGAUUACCUUGAUCCCCACUGCAACCCAGAAGCUUUCAGUUACCAGGAGCAGGACAACUGUGCUCGGAGAACAGCUUACCUGGUGCUGCUGUCAAAGAGAGAACUCAGGGCCUGACAGUUGUUCCACUGAUUCUCAAGUGAGUGAACCAAAGUCCAGUGGGCGAAGGACCUGGCCUAAGGCACUCAGCCUUUGUUGGCAGAGCUGAGUGGAGAGCACAGGCUCCUGACUGGAAGGCCACAGCUAGUCUCCUUCACGGUGCUGACUCAUCUUUGAGACGAUGAUGCAAUUUAAUGAG
Molecule: long non-coding RNA, 553 nt
Organism: Prionailurus viverrinus (fishing cat)
Lineage: Eukaryota; Metazoa; Chordata; Mammalia; Carnivora; Felidae
Exons: 5
Source: RefSeq, a predicted model, not a curated record